Long non-coding RNA from Meleagris gallopavo (turkey), 3772 nucleotides. NCBI's taxonomy places the organism in Eukaryota, Metazoa, Chordata, Aves, Galliformes, Phasianidae. The record is from Ensembl.
GAAGGAAUUUUAAUGAGGACUUCAUAAUUUGAAAGGAAGGGAGGCAUUGCAACUGAUGAUAAAAAUAACGGAAUAAGAAUGGCUGAUAUGUUGACCUGCAUAGAGAUUUUUCCCCCUUUCUUUUAACAUCUACUUUACUGUCCCUUGUCAUCCAAAAUUCAGGAAGAAAACUCUCUAACUCCAAUGUGGUAUUAGAAAGUGGCAUUCCUUUAUUCCUCAUGAUGCUCACUGGGUGACUUGACAAGCAAGUGUGCCCUUUCAGAGUUCUGGUUCUACAUUUACAUAGUUAAGACAUAUGCAGUACAUUGGCAUACAUAGUCAUUCUUCAAGGUCUCAGAGAUCUAUGCUAAUGCCCCUUUGGGCAUGCUCAGUGGUAUUUAGGGUCAUCAAGUGUCCACCUACUUCUUCCCCUCUGUUCACCAUCAGCUUCCUCACCAAAACCUUUCACUCACUUUCAUUCGCUUUUCCCCUGUUUGGAAGAUUUCCAUUGCUUAUUAGUCCACAGAGAGCAAUCUUUUAAAAACAAUGCAUGUGGAACCUGAGGAAAGUGUCCUUGGACAUUUUGAGGCAAAAGACAAAAGUAUUCUAUUGUGACUCCAGUACUUCUCAGGAGGCAGAAUCAUUGAGGCAGAAGAUAAAAGUAUUUUAUUGAGACCCCAGUGCAAAAUUAUUAAGGAAAAACAAGACUACUCACCUACUAAAGCUGAAAUGGAAAGUUUCAGAACUAUCAUUUAUGGAUUCCUUUUGCUAAACUAAUAUAUUGGUUCUUAAACUAAUGUACUAAACUUAUUGCAAAACAAACCAAACUAUAUCACCCUGUAUUAGACAAUUCAUUUAAAACAUCUGCCCUCUUUGUAGCCUUUGAACUCUGUUUGCUGUACCAUCAUUGUCUAAUCAAAGCAGCUUUGCCAUUUGAAGAUUCUUUGACAUGUUAUCAGACCUAACUCCAAGCAGGAAUAAAUGCAGAAUGGAUGAAAUGCAACUNNNNNNNNNNNNNNNNNNNNNNNNNNNNNNNNNNNNNNNNNNNNNNNNNNNNNNNNNNNNNNNNNNNNNNNNNNNNNNNNNNNNNNNNNNNNNNNNNNNNCGGCGCUCAGCGGCGGCCCCUGCCCCUGCUGCCCGCUCGGGCACGCCGAAAGCAGGGACAUCAGCAGGGGUCAUCCCACGCCUCAUUAAUUUUGUUAACAUACAGGCAAAUGAGACAACAUCAAAAGUAAAAUAUGAACCUAACUUUCCAAAACCACAAAUACAGAAAAAUGGUCACUUCCAGAACUCAGUCUGUUGAGAAAUCCAGGGCAAAAAAUACAACUGUGAAAAUGGCGUAAGUCAGACUGGAAAGAUAACUGAACAUGUAGGGGGCACUGACACGGGGCUGAAUGCUUUGAUGUUUAUGCUGAAGAAAUGUUAAUAUUACCCAUCUUUCCUACUAAUUACAAUGUUUGAAGUAUGUAAAAGAACAUAUAUGACGGCUCCACUGCAGAAAGCCAAAGGUACUAUACUUUCCCAUCACCGUUGCAACUUUUGCUUGUGUAAAUAAUACCUCUCUGUCAUCAUACAUCCUGUUAUCACUGAAUAGAUAUGGAUGUCUGUAGAAGAAUGUCCUACUGAUGAGUUUUUCAUUUCCACAGUUUCAUUUUUCUUUAGUUAAUUAGACCAUGAGAAAGAAACAAAAAUGUCAGAGUGAAUAAUCCAAUGAAGAUCCUAUGUCAGAUUUUAGAGCUCUCAAUUUCAUACAAUCCAUAAGGAAUCUGAUUUCUGUUCACAUCAUUGCCUCCAGAAAAAAAAGGAUCAGCUCCUCUUGAUGGUUUAGUGGAACUGCUACAGUUUCUUUCUUCUCCUGUGCUUACAGAGACAGGUCAAGAAUCCAAGUCUUAGUGUAAUUCUACUUAUAAACCACAUUCGAAAUCAAGAUUAGAGGAUGUAUGGAUUGCCAACUGAAACAGACAGAUAACAACAAAUUGCUGUUAAUUGCAUACUGCAACAUGCAAAUUUGCAAUUUAUCCAAAAUGGGGCAAAACAGCCACAGAACCCCCAGCUUCAUGCUGAUGACCUGAGCCAACCUCUUCACUCUUUGUACGUUUCAACUUUGGCUUACAUACAGGCACCAACAUUUCAAGAAAUACAGCAAACUCCUAAUAUGUGUUGAGCCGUCUAGCUAUACAUACAGUGUACCAGUUUGCUUCUUAUUUGGAAAAACGUAUUUCUAUUCUAUGUUCCUGCAGGCCUAUGUAUUAACAACACUAUUACUGGUUAAAAAAAAGUAGUUUACCCAAAAUAAAGAACUUUCAGUGUAAGGCACAGUGUGUUUACAGAUUUUAUAGGCUGUGCAUGGGCAAUGGUCAGGAAUUAAGACUCCAAGGGGAGCAAGAGCAUAACUGAAUUAUAACUAGUUUGUUCAAUGUUCAUGUUAAUAUUAUUAACAUAGAAAGUAUCAUCCGCAGCAGGGACCAUAAUUUGAAUGCGAAGGGAAUGUGUUACUAAUAUAAUAUCAGAGACUUGGCAAUAAAGGAUAAUCUUUGUUCUGCACUUACAAAAAAAAAAAAAAUUUUCAGAAGAUUGUUUACAUGAGGUAAAUACUGAAAGGAAGAGGUCAUUUUAUUUUUGGCUCAUAUUUGUUUUAUUUUAAUGCUUUAUUUUAAUUCUUUAAUAUUUUUUGUGUUGAACCUUGUUUUUCUUGAAAACUAAAUUCUAUCAUUUACUUUUGUAAUGGCUUACCUUUGUUUUUUCCUAUUUUAUUUAAUUGUUUCAACUUAUUUAGUAUAAUGGGCUGUUGUUGUAGCAUACAUUUUUGGCUUAAUAAUCUUACAAGAGUAUUCUGGCAAGGAAAUGGUUACUGGGAUGCUAACUCCAAUUACAAAGGGCUGACAAAUCCAAGUAGCAUCUGUGGAUGACAGAGAGGAUUGUAACUGGGAAUAAGGGUGGAUGCUGUUGUUGAUUUAACAAAGCAGGUGGCUCAGUACCACACAGUCAUUCGCUCAUUUCCCCAUUCCCAGUGGGAUGGGAGAGAGAGAAUCAGGAAAAAAAACAAAAAGAUGUGGAACUCGUGUGUUGAGAUAAAACUAUUUACAAAGAUAGAGAAAAUUAGAAGGUUAAUAGCUAUGACUAUAUAUAUGUGUGAAUAUAUGUAACAAGUGAUGUACAAGCAAUAGCUCAUCAACUCUGACUGACCUGACCAAUGCCCAGGUAGUCCUGUGAGUAGCAAAAGAGAGAGAGAUGCACACCCAUUCUGUUCAAAACUUAUUCCUCAUGAUGUCAUAUAGUUUGGAAUAUCCCUUUGGCCAGUUUAAGUCAACUGUUGUAAUUCUGUUCACUCUCAGCUCCUAGGGUCCUUUGAUGAAAAUGGCCUUGGCACUGGACUGGAGGAAAGCAAAUGUCAUCCCAGUCUUCAAAAAGGGUGAAAAAAAAGACCCUGGUAACUAUAGACCGGUCAGCCUCACCUCCAUCCCUGGAGAGGUGAUGGAACAGCUUAUCCUUGGCUCUGUCUGUAGGCAUAUCAAGGAUAAGAGGGUCAUUAGAGGCAGUCAGCAUGGCGGCUUCACCAAGGGAAAUCAUGCUUGACCAAUCUGAUAGCCUUUAUGAGGAAAUAACCAGGUAGAUAGAUGAUGGUAAAGCAGUGGGUGCAGUCUAUCUUAAUUUCAGUAAAGCAUUUGACACCGUCUCCCACAGCAUCCUCCCAGCUACAUUGAGGAAGUGUGGACUGGAUGGUUGGGUAGUGAGGUGGACUGUGAACUGGCUGAAUGGAGGAAGCCACAGAGUUGUGGUCAGUGGGACAGAG